This 298-nucleotide long non-coding RNA is filed under the name Trifolium pratense (red clover). RNAcentral's name for it is "long non-coding RNA (TPRA_LNC007260)". The record is from RNAcentral. Lineage: Eukaryota; Viridiplantae; Streptophyta; Magnoliopsida; Fabales; Fabaceae.
UCAAGACAUAUUCCGGACACGGAUAUGAUCAACGAGUAAUACAUGACGAUAUUGAUUUAUAAAUGAAAUAUAUAUAUCAAUAGUUAACUGAUACAUGUGAAUGAUUUGAUGAAAUCCAAUUCCAACAAGUUUUUAUCUCAAAAGUUUAUCACGCACUUUUAUUGCAAUUUUAUGUUACGAAACCAAAUCGAAACAAACCCAUACUUAGAAUCAUGGAAUUUGUGUAUGUACAAUUAAUAUCACACUAGUCCCUGUGGAUACGAUAUAACGAAAAUACUUGCUUUUGUACUUUCAUCAG